CAAAGACGUUUUUGCUAACCUGUUAAAGGAGGCGAGCGUUUAAGGUAUGGGGAGUGAUUGAGGUGAAGUCGUAACAAGGUAGCUGUAGGUGAACCUGCAGAAGGAUCA
This 108-nucleotide ribosomal RNA is filed under the name uncultured eukaryote. RNAcentral's name for it is "partial small subunit ribosomal RNA". It matches the Rfam family "Bacterial small subunit ribosomal RNA", at positions 1422 to 1525 of the family's 1533-position model. The record is from RNAcentral.